This 441-nucleotide ribosomal RNA is filed under the name uncultured bacterium. RNAcentral describes it as "partial 16S ribosomal RNA". It matches the Rfam family "Bacterial small subunit ribosomal RNA", at positions 338 to 795 of the family's 1533-position model. The record is from RNAcentral.
CCUACGGGGGGCAGCAGUGGGGAAUAUUGCACAAUGGGGGAAACCCUGAUGCAGCAACGCCGCGUGAGUGAAGGAGUAUUUCGGUAUGUAAAGCUCUAUCAGUAGGGAAGAAGAAAGACGGUACCUGACUAAGAAGCACCGGCUAACUCCGUGCCAGCAGCCGCGGUAAUACGGAGGGUGCGAGCGUUAAUCGGAAUUACUGGGCGUAAAGCGCUCGUAGGCGGUAUGUCAAGUCAAGGGUGAAAUCCCCGCGCUCAACGUGGGAACUGCCUUUGAAACUGGCAAACUGGAGUGUGUGAGAGGAUAGUGGAAUUCCAGGUGUAGGAGUGAAAUCCGUAGAUAUUAGGAGGAACACCAGUGGCGAAGGCGGCUUGCUGGACUGUAACUGACACUGAGGCUCGAAAGCGUGGGGAGCAAACAGGAUUAGAUACCCUAGUAGUC